UGGAUUGGAGACUCUACAUGGCUUGGAAAGCCUUUGUAUGGGUUAAGAGCUAGUGGUACUCGGCGAUUCACAUGGGUGCACUCGUUGAGUUGCAUGAAGAUAGGCAGAAACUCGAUGAGUUGUAAGAACAACUCGGCGAGUUGGUUGAAGAUAGCCUUGGACUCGGCGAGUCUGUUCUUGGACUCAGCGAGUCUGUUCGUGAGGUCCUAACCUUUCCUGGUUGAGCUGUGACUCGGUGAGUCAAGGGAUGACUCAGUGAGUUGAGUGCGAUUAGACUCAGAGUUGUGGGACUCGGCGAGUCUUGGGGCGACUCGGCGAGUUGAGUCGUGUUAUGGGAGUUUCAGAGCAUAGGGACUCGACGAGUCAGUGGGGUGACUCGGUGAGUAGAGAUAGUCUUGUGUUGACCAGUUGUCUUCCAGGGGUAUUUUGGUAUUUAUCGAGUUCAGUAUUUUGGUUUUUGAUCAGUGGUGAAGUUUGUAUCAGAGUUUGGAGCAGCGUGAUCUUAUUUCUUCAGUCGGCAGUUGCGAGAUGAGUUAUCCUCACUAUAUCAACAGGGUCUAAGGCACCAAGGCCGUCCCUUUAUCGGAUUGUAAUCUGGGUAUCGUUGUUAUGUUAUUGCUUUGCUAUGUUUGCAUCCUGGUAGUUAGGAUGGUAUAUGUUAGAGACCUGGUUAAGGUCGGUAUCCUGGUAUAUAGGAUGAUGCUAUGCUAGUGACCGGUUAGGUCGAUAUCCUGGUUAUGAUGAUGUUAUGUUAUGUGAUCUGCUAGAUCGGGUUGANGUCCUGCUUUGUGCUGUAGGCCAACAUACCCAGGGCGAACCGGAUAUUCCGAAGGCCCAGCGAGCGGUCCGGAUAGGUUGUAGGCCCAUGAGGGCGGACCAGACGUGCCAAGGCUCGGAGAGUGGACCAGGCCGACUGAAGGCCCGGUGCGGGCGGACCAGUCAUACUGUAGACUCAGAGAGUGGACCAGGUGGGUUGAAGGCCUGGUGCGGGCGGACCAAUCGAAUUGCAGACUCGAUGGAUAUGGCUAGACUCGGAGGGUGGACCAGCUGGACUGAAGGCCCGGUACGACGUACCAGUCACACAGUAGACCCGAAGUGCAUAACUGUUCUGGAUUCUGUUAUGUUAUGAUAUGUUAUGCGUGGUAUAUGUGAUUGGUAUUUUGGGGGUAUCUCACUAAGCUUUCGAGCUUACAGUUGUGGUUUAAUGUUUUUCAGGUACUUCAGGAGACCGUGGCAAGGCAAAGGCGUGAUCGUACCGCUCCUCAUAUUUAUGUUUUAUGAAAUGGUUCUGGAAAGACUCUGAUAAUAAUUGUAUUGAAAACCUUUUUUCAAUAACGUAAUGAAAUUGGGUGGCUUUUGAAAAGUUUAAAUUGGUUGGAAUUUUUAGAGCGUUACAAGUUGGUAUUAGAGCCUUGAUUUAAGUGAAUUGGAGGAACAUUCGUGUGAAUCCAGUCUCAAAUCAAGGAGAGUUUUCAAAAGAGAAUUUAAAAUGGUAUUCAAAAUGAGUAAAAGAGGACGCGGGGGUACGAUCAGCUGGAGCCAGUAAGUUACCCCAAAAUUACCACACAAGUUAUUUGUUUAUGAGAUAUGAUAGAACAGCAUGCUAGUACUAGACUAGGGAUCUUCAGGAAUUGCAUGAUAGAGUUGCCUGAUUACGAUGCCUGCUAGCCUACAGUUUCUUUCUGUAUGAGAUUUCCAGUGUUCCUCUAGGAGUGAGGGUAGAGUGUUUGUUAUGCUUGUUCUUCACUAGGGUAUUGUGGUGAUACUUGAUAUUAAUAUGGGUAGGUGUGGAAGGUAGUAUGAGCCCGUACUACUGAAAGCACAGGACCCAUACGCGUAUCAAGGAAGUCACAACCCCUAGGGCUGGGUUGAGAGUCGGUUCUCGGGUUAGUGAGAAGCGUCAGAUGUUUUGCGGUAUUUUCAGUAUGGUGGUUACAAGGCAUGCUGGGAGCGGAUCCAGAUCAGGAUCGGGAGCAGGAGAGGGCGGUCAGGGUGGGUCAGUACCACCCGAGGUUAUUGGUUAGAUGAGCACAAACGACUUGGAUGCUAGGAUUCAUGAGAUCCUGUAUGAUGAGGUUGCUGCGAUGUUCCGGGCUGAGUUGCCGGAACUGUUUUUGUCGAUCAAGACCACCAUGGUUGAGUAUUUUGAUGAGCGUUAUGUAGAUCUUACAGAGACAGCUGCCGCGGUAGCUACNGUAGCAGCGGCAGGGGGAGGAGCCGGUAGAGGUUUUCAGUAUCGGGACUUCGAUAAUACGAAGCCCCCUACCUUCGAUGGAGUUUAGGACCCGAUUGUUGCUAUGAGAUGGUUGUCAGACGUGGAGGGGUGUUUCUGUUGGAUAUAGUGUCUAAGUCCAUUACUAUAUUUGGUAUGUAAUUGACCCAACCCGACAUGGUCCAUUUGGGUUGCACUUCACCCAAACAAUUUAUGGAUAAUCUUUUGAGAAUAGUACAAGUUAUGAUUUAUUAAUAUAUUAUAAGUUCUAAUAUAUUAAUAUAAGAUCAUAUUAUUUAAUUAGUAUUGAUCUAUAAUUAAUCUAGGAUUAAUUUAGAGAUCAAAAGUAUUACUAAUUAAAUAUGGGCUCCUAUAUUUAUAUAGUGUGGGCUAAUGCUUAUUUGGAAUGGGCUAGGCUUGCAUGGAAAGUCCAUGGAUACUCCAUGGAGCUUUAACCCAUGGAUCUCAUGGAAAUGAAGAGACAUGGGUAUUAGGGUUUACAUGGAUGUAACCCUAAUCCACCACACUAUAUAAAGGAGGCUUUGGUUCUUGAAAUCACACUAGUUGUGGUGAGUAAAGUAAGAGGGCCGAUUUCAAGAUAGUUGUGACUAUUCUCUCAAGGUUCCAAAGUUUGUGGUGAUUUGUGAUUUCCAUUUGAGGCAUUCACACUAUUGGUGCUAGGCUCUAAAACUCCAAGCAAUCAACUGCAACUACAAGGUAAGUAAUUCUACUAGCUCUAUUUGAUUCAAGUUCCCCAUGCGAUGCUAUAUAGGAUAAGAACCUUGGAAAACAAUUAUUUGCAUAUGUAUCUUAGUCAAACAUAGAUCCAAGGUUUAUUAGGGUUGCAUGUACACUUAGGAAGUGUUAGAAUGCUCAAAACCCAUCAGUGGUAUCAGAGCAUAGGCUUGUUUGUUUGAUACUUGAUGCAAAAUAUUGGAAAUUAAAAGUCGAAAUCUUGCUGUCUUCCUGAUGAAAUCGCCGAGUCCAUGGGGGGACUCGCCGAGUUCAUGUGUAUCUUCAUCGUACUCGCCGAGUAGGUUCAUGCACUCGAUGAGUAGGAGCCUCAGAAUGCAUAUUUCNGGGAUCAGUUCAGAGAGAUGUUCAGUACUCGCUAUGUUCCACGAGUUGAGAGGGAGAGAUUAGCUCAAGAGUUCCUGGAGGUGAAGCAGGAUUCAGAGUUAGUGACGGAGAUAACCAGGAUGUUCACAUAGAGGGCGAUGUUUUGCCCUGAGUUUGCUUUAGAGCAGGCUCAAAUGUCCUGAUAUCUGAGUAUGCUCAAGAGGGAUAUCAGACAGUUCGUGUCUACGCAGAGGUGCGAGACCUUACUGGAGUUGCACGAGGCCGCUCGACGGCGUGAGUUGGAGAUUGAGUUGCAGUUGCGAGAGCAGAGGCAGGCCCCGAUGCAGUCACCGCUAGCGCCGAAACAGUCCAAGACCGUUGAUUCUAGAUUGGGAGAUCAUAGCAGCCGCACUUGUGGGAAGUGUGGGAAGGGUCACACCGGAGUUUGUAGGUCCGGUGGUGCAUGCCGCAAGUGCGGAAAGGAAGGGAAUCAUGCGAGGGAUUGUCGGCAGACAUCCCUGGUUCAGGAUUUGAGGAUUUGUUAUCACUCCCAUCAGGUUGGACACUUGAGGGUCAACUGUCCAUAGCUUGCUGCAGGACCGGUGCAGGCUCCAGCACCGGCCAUUUUGAGGAUUACGGGUAGCGGUCAGGGUGGAGCGGAGCCCCCGAGGGCUCAAGGUCGUGCUUUUCAGCUUGCAGCAGAGGAGGUCAGGGCAGCACCGGAUGCAGCUGCGGGUAUGUUUCCUUCUUGAUAUUUUGUUAUCUUGUGAUUAUUAUGGAGUAUUGUAUAUCUGCUAGUCUCGUUGUGUGAUUUUUGGUAUUGUAUUUGUUCGUUCCUUAAGGGUUAUGGUAUGGUUAAGGGUUUUGGUAUUGGGGGUUUUGUUGGUUAUCAUCCAUGGGGAUUAUUAGUGGGAAAUCAGGCUUUUGGUCUGAAUGUCGGGUAGCAUCUGCAGUCUGAGGAGUGGUUAGCUGAAGGUUGGGCUUCUUUUAGGUCCGAGAUGAUCAGUGUUGAUAUGUGGUUUGUGAAGGUUACUCGUUCUAGUGGGAAUCAAUUCGCGUGUAAGGGAAUGUGUUGCGAAGGGUUGUUAAGGGAGGUUGGUUAUGGCGACCGGUGGUUGAUAGUCAGUGCUCUAAGUGGGGUGAAUUGGAAAAUUCUCCGGAAGAUCGACAAGCAUGCGGGGUUGAUUAGCUGUUUGGGAUUUAGCAGCGGUUCUGUCAGCCAAAAGCAUAGGCUGGUAUGAGCAAGUGACAGGCAAACGAGGCAGGAUACAGACCAAGGGUUUCGUAAAAAAGGUGAUUGAUUAUGGAGGGCCUAAGAUCUGGCUGGGAUUAAGUAUGUAGGUAGGAGUUAGAGUUUGGAACCCCUAGAGGGCUAGAACUGUAUGCGUGGGAGAGUUUUCCAGGAGGGAUAAUUCGGGAUGAUGAAUGGUAGUUGAGUGUUCCAGAUAGACUGAAGGCCGGUGGGCGUACUAGUCAGGCCGAAGGCUCGGAGGACGGUCCAGAAUGGCUGAAGGCCCUGGAGGGCGGUCCAGACAUGCUGAAGGUUCUAAGAGUGGUCCAGAUUGGCUGAAGGCCUAGUAAGGCGGUCUGGUCAUGCUGAAGACUCUGCAUGUGUUGAUAGAUCUGUAUGAGGAGAUGGAAUGAGUAUGUUGUGAUGUGAUAGCAUCAGAAGGUCUGGCCCCGGGUAUUGAUCAUGAUUAGUGGAAGGUAGUGCAUAGACUCGAGAGUCCCUGUGAGCAGAUUCAGAGCAUGUGUGGUGCAUGGUUUAGCGGUUAUGCUAUAAGGGAAUGGUGUAGCGUUGGGCGAGCACCGUGGCACUUGUUGUAGUGACUAGGCGGCCAAGUAGAUUUCCUUGGAUAAGGAAAGGGAAGGGUUUGUAGCUCCGAGAGGGAGUGUAAGUUCACGGAAGUGAAAGUAGUAGUGCGGAGGUUUGAUUGAGGUGUUUUAGUUAUGGUUUGAGCGUGUGUAUGUGCCGGUGGUAUGGAAUCACAUUCGGGUUGGAUGUCUGCUGAGGUCACGGAGGGAGUUCCGAGGGUGUAGAGCCAAAAAGGCUCGGAAGGGAUGCAAGGAUGGAGCCUUGGAUUCCCGGUUUGGUGUGAACAAGAAAUUAUGCAUGUAGUGGUAAUUCAUCCUGGGGGAUGUUUGGAGGUGUCGUCAGUGUGUCGGGUUUUCCCAACCCGAGGAUGCUAGAGCCAAUUCAACAUGUGUAUGUGAUUGCGGAGGAGAACUCAUGGGAAUUGAUCUGAAGCUGAAGGAUGUUUCAUCUUGUAAAAGGAUAGAGUUGGACUCAGAAAGGGAGCAGGUUAAGUCUCAACAGUGAAUUCGGUGAAGGAUAUGUCUGACGAGGAAAAUGAUAGCAGUGUGGUACUGGGUCGGGAUGCCAGUGGUUCAUGGUUACAUCUAGUUCGUAAGAGUCAAGUGAUUGUUGUGAUUUGGAACGAGUGAAGUAUCAUGGAGUGGUACUCGGUUGAUAAGUGUGGUUAUCAGAGGAUGAAGCUGGUGGUCGGCUUGAGGCGGUGGUCAGGACACCGCAGGGGAAGCGUUGGGUUUUGGGUUUCGUUGGUAGUGUUUUGAGGAACCUGGUUUGGUUAAUGCCAGGUGGAGCAUUGUGGGAGUAUUUUCUGGAUUUGUGUUGCCGCAGGCUUCGAGGGAGAAGCCUAAUUUAAGUGGGGGAGAAUUGUAACAUCGCGGAAAUUUAGAAGUAAAGUUGAAGGGAAAAAAGUGUAAAUAAGAAGGUCGACUCGACGAGUCUCUGGAUAGACUCGGCGAGUCGAGUCGCGUUACGGGUCACGUGUUAAGUGACCAACUUGGCGAGUCGCAAGGGUGGUCUCGGCGAGUUGGUGCUGUACGGAGAAAACCCUAAUCCCGGGGGUUGAUCCCUAUAUAAAGAACAUAAUACCCUCUCCCCAGCCUCUUUACUCUCCCUUGAAGUCCAGAAACCCUAAUAUUCGUUUGUGAGAGAAUUAGAGAGCAUUUGGAUCUUGAAGGAGUGUUUGUUGAGGAGAUUUUUGAAGAUUAAGAGGCUUGGAGGGAGGAGCUUUACAAGGUUUUGGCUUAUUCUUCUAUUGGAGUCUUCUUUUGAGGUAAUGAUUCGUUGCUUGAGCUGUUAUCCUUCUAGAUCUAUCAUUUGUGGGAUUUUUGGGAGUAUAUCUAGUGAUAUCUUGAUUUUGGAGGUUGGUGUUGGGUUUUGAGCAUUCUAACACUCCUAAGUGUACAUGCAACCCUAAAUACCUNAGUCUUGGAGUCAUUUUGUUGGGUCAAAAUAUGGUUUAUACUUUGCUUUUCUGGGCAAUUAUGUUUUUGUGUAAUAUUUUAUGAGCUUACAGUCUAGUUUACGGUCAGGUCAUGUUUACGGUUGAGUUUACGGCCGUAAACACCUUACGACCGUAAACCCAUUUACGGCCCAUGUUAUCUGGACCAUGUUCUCCAAGUAUAAAUAUAGGUGUUAGGGUGAGGAGUAGAGAUUUGAUGAACAAAAGAGAGUUUACGGCCAGAGAGAAGUUUUGUGUGUGUGAAUCUUUUGUAUCCAGAUCUUCAUUCUAAUCAAUUCAUACAUAGAUUCAUAUUAUUCUCCUUCUCCUUCUUUUCUAUUUGAUCUGACAUCAUCCGUUUGAUUGGGAUUCCGCACCAUCAAACGGAUCUGAUUGAUACACGGGCGAAUUAGGGACUUACAAUUGGUAUCAGAGCCAAGUUGUAUCAGUCAAUUUUGUCAUAUUUGGAGCAUUAUUUGAUCUUAUUUUUGAAAUAUUAUUUCGUUUUUGGAUAGAUCUUGCAAAAAUAAGGGGGGUUUGUUCUUCGUGUUUUUCAUAAAAAAAAAGGUUUUUGAUCGAGUUUUGGAGCUUUAAAGUCGAAAAAUCGGUGUUUUUGGUCGGAAUUUGCAGCCGACGGCUAGGGUUUGGGAGUUCACGGCCGGAAACUGUUCACGGUCGCCGGAGGAUUGCGACCGGAGUUUAAGUCCGGAAACGAGUUCACGGUCGUCGGAGUUUGCGGUCGUCGGUUCGGGUCGUCGGAGUUUGCAGUCGCCGGGUCGGAAGUCUUCUCGGUCAGCAACAUCAAUGCAUCAAUGCUUCGCAUUUAAAAAAAGUUCCACGCGAUUUGAGGUUGCUGGGGAUCGAACCCGGGACCUCCAGUUCAUAGUCAGCGUGCCUUGCCAACUCCACCAACAGAUCCUUUGUGACUUGACUCCGAAAUUAACCACUCCUUGCCGCUUCCAAGUUUCGCAAAUUUCACACUUUCAGCCCAAAAUUCAAUUUCUUUGAGUUUUAAAUUCCUUUUUCAUCCAAAAUUAAAAUAAUAAUAGUAAUAAUUGUAUAAUUAAAAUUUUAACUUUUAUUUUUUAUUUUUUAUUUAAAAUUUUGAUUUUGACUUUUCAAGUUUGAAUUUUGAGUUUAAUUUUUUUUUUAAAUUUGAAUUUUAAGUUUGACUUUUGAGUUUAACUUUUUUAAUUUGACUUAUAAGCUUGACUUUUCAAGUUUGACUUUUGAGUUUACCUUUUUAAAUUUGACUUUUAAGGUUGACUUUUGAGGUUUAUAAUCAAAGGGUUUGACUUUUAAGUUUUAUUUUAGCUUCUAGUUGUGCUUUUAAUUGAUUUUAAGUUUACGAGGGAAUUGAAAAACAUGAAAGAGAGUCGUCAGGAGACGUUAAGACAAAAUUUCAACAUGUUCGAUUAUAUCCAUGGAGAAACCCUGAAAACUCAAUUGCAGCGAUUUACUACACUUGCUACUGAGAUGAAUAUAGCUGGGAUCUUCUUGACCAAAUCUGAGAUAAACUAAAAGCUAUUGAACUCACUUUCAAAAUCGUGGGAUAUGAACGUGUCUAUCAUCAAGAAGAAAAAAGAUCUCAAUCAUCUUACUCUUGCUGAUGUAAUUCAAGAACUUGAUGUUUUGAAGUGUAGAGAAACAAUGAGUUCUGAAAACAUUCCCGUCACUGAAGUUACAUGUACUCCAGCUUGUGAAGCCACGAUUAAAUUUCUUCGAGAACAAAUUGAUUUAUUUAAAAGAGAAGUUGAGGACCUGAGAUAUGAAGGAUAUCAACUCAGGAAAGGACAGAAACCCCUGAAGGCUGAAUUAGAAGCAAAAACCAAGGACUUUAGGAAACUUCAGGAAGAGUAUAGCAACAAGUGUGAAUAUUAUGAUUAUGUUAAGAGACAACUUGCUACUGCAACUGAAAAAAUUGACACUUUAAAAAUUAAGUGUGGAAAAACUGAUGUUAGUUUCAAAAAUUAUACUGUGUCAAGUCAGACAGUCGAGUCCUUAUGUGAAACCUAACUAAAAUUCAAAGAAAAUCAAAACAAGGGUAUAGGUUAUGAUAGUGUACCUCAUCCUUAUAAUCAUAACUACACAUCCAUCCCUAUGACACGAAACUGANGGAGCCACAUCUUUGAUAUGGAAAACGAGCUGGAUUUAUGUCAGGAGGAGUUAUUAAUGUUGAAAAUACUAAUGUUUCUGUUACAUGUGCAGGUAAAGUAGCAGAGGAUGAGAACAAGGAGAGUUCUUCUGAACAAACAAAUGACCGCUUGAACUCUAAAUCUGUUGCUUCUAAUCAACCCGCCGUUGGUAAAUACAUGCCACGAUUUUAAGCUAAACAGAGUGCCUGUUGCAACUGUGCGUGUGGGAAAAAUAAGAGACAAGGCAAGGAUACGCCACCAGGGGCAGGAAUAAAUAACUUCACAGUGAAGAAAAAGACUUGUUUUCAAUGUGGAACACAUGGACACAUUGCCAGAAACUGUCCAAAUCGCGCGUACGUUCCCUACUACGCACAAGGAUGGAAAAACGCACCAAGUGGGAGAUACUUCAAAAGAAACCCUUCCAUGUCACGUUCAGACAAUGGUGACUGGAACGCGCAGAAGGCUAAGAAUCAAACCCGCAAGGCAAAGAAUCCGAAUCCCAAUGGCAAGAAGGAAAUGCCUGCCAAGAAGCCAAAUCCAAGAGAUGCUCCAGUGAAACAAAGAUCGGCUAAGUCAAAGUCAUCUCGAAGAUCGGCUUCAAGUUCCAAAGCAAGUGUCGAGGCACCCAUCGGAUCGAACAAGAAAUGGGAUAAANNNNNNNNNNNNNNNNNNNNNNNNNNNNNNNNNNNNNNNNNNNNNNNNNNNNNNNNNNNNNNNNNNNNNNNNNNNNNNNNNNNNNNNNNNNNNNNNNNNNNNNNNNNNNNNNNNNNNNNNNNNNNNNNNNNNNNNNNNNNNNNNNNNNNNNNNNNNNNNNNNNNNNNNNNNNNNNNNNNNNNNNNNNNNNNNNNNNNNNNNNNNNNNNNNNNNNNNNNNNNNNNNNNNNNNNNNNNNNNNNCGCUCCACUAACGACUUUGAGAAUGCAAAUAUCACAAUUGCUAUCUAGCUAAAAUCUACUUAGUGAAAGUGUUUCCUCACCAUCAUUUUCAUGAAUCGGAGAGAAACCUUAUGACACUUAGAUUUAAUGGUGUAUGAAUUCCUACCCAUAUGAAUUUGUCAAAACCAUAAUAACAAGACAAUGAUAAUGACAAAUCCAAAUUAAUUUGGAUUUAACUCAAUCUUAACUUCUUCCCACCUGGCAGCUCAAGGGCGUGCCUUUGCUUCCAAGUUGUUGUGCAACACAUUGAGAACUCUAAGAACUCAUAUGCAAAGCCAACUUUAACUGGAAUGGGCACAAAAUAUGUCAACACGAUAGGUUAUAAACCUCAAGUCGUGUGCUAGUGAAGAACUUCAGGUUUUAUUCUUGAUUAGUUCUUGAGACUUUCAAGACCUUUAAGACUCCCACUGUCCUCUUGACAUAUAAGACUNNNNNNNNNNNNNNNNNNNNNNNNNNNNNNNNNNNNNNNNNNNNNNNNNNNNNNNNNNNNNNNNNNNNNNNNNNNNNNNNNNNNNNNNNNNNNNNNNNNNNNNNNNNNNNNNNNNNNNNNNNNNNNNNNNNNNNNNNNNNNNNNNNNNNNNNNNNNNNNNNNGAUAGGUUGAGCAGGGAGAUAUAUAUGGGAAUCUACUCGUCACAUUAAAUGAACCCGUACUUGGAACCGUGGUUUAACUUUUCCUCGAUGUGCGGAUUCUGUCCUUAAUUCCGGUUGGAUGGGGCGACUGGUAAAUUCCGAUAAAUUAGGUCUGUAGAAUAUCAUUUUCUUUCUUUCCGUCUGUUAGUCAUAUGUUGUCUCCUUUGCGUGACUUCCAAUCCGACCUGGUACACAACAUAUGCAACUCUAUUUCUCUGCAUGUUAUAUAUGUGAAAUACUUCUUAUCUGUUAGCCAUAUGUUGUCUCCUUUGCGUGACUUCUAAUCCGACCUGGUACACAGCAUAUGCAACCUUCUUCUUCUCAACCCCUCUGAGGUAAUAAGUAAUAAAAUUCUGAAUCUAUCCUCUCUCUGAAUGGUUGUCUGCUCACCCGGUGUAAGGAGUACUCUGGAAGUUCUUGAUGGCUGGGGCAUAUUAGGAAGCGGGAAACACGUUUCAAUACAAUUAAAAUUGAACACUCAAAGAUUGCCUAUAGAUCUCGCUGCUCAAUUUAGGUGGACAACAAUAUUCCUGGUCGUCGUCAGAUGAACGGUCCUUAAGAUAUAGUAUCUAGGAACUUAAGUUCACCUUGUCUUGUAACAAAUAGUAUGUCCUAAAUUUGUCACAAUUUUUCGUGUUUAAGUGGACAACAAUACCGACGAUCGACCAGACAAAGAUGUGAAUAUGAAAGGUACCGACAAGUGGAUAAAGGCUGUCUAAAAACUUUGAUCCCAAAUCACUCUUAAAGUUAGAUAUAAUUUUUAUUUUUGUUAAAUUUGUCAUAGUUUCUUCUAAUUUAAAUAUUAGGGGAGGAUUAAAAAUUAAAAAUAAUGAAAAUAAAAAAAAUCAGAAAAAUUCAAAAAUCAAAGAAAAAUCAGAAAAAUUAAAAAUCCAAAAAUAUUUUUGUUUCUGUUUUAAUUUGUGUGCUAAGUUUUCUUUUAGUUUAGUUUUGUCUUGAAAAGUGAUUUCAGGUAUAGAUAAGACUCAUGGAGUUUGUGUUGAAGAUUUCUGAGCCAAGGCUUCAUCUGUGAGCAUCGAAGAAUUCGCAUUCGAAGGAGAAAGAAAUGAAGAUUAUUCUUUCGACAUUCAAUCCUUCAACUCCAGAAGCAAGGUGAAGCUGCAAUUGAAGAUUAUGUGAUAGAUUGCAUUGAAGCCUCCUCAAUCAGGCUGCUGCUAUCCUAAACCUGCUGAAGUGAUCUAGAACUUUAGUUCUCUCUGAUGUUCUCUCUGAAGAUUCUCAAGCUGUAAGUGCUAUCUUUCAAGAAUCAGUAUGUCAAGCCUUCUCGCCCAACGUGCGUUCAAUGCCAAAUUCUGAAGAAAAGCCCAACCGCUCAAGAUGAAGUCAUUCAUUGAAGAUUCAUCAAGUUCAUCUUGAAGUCGUGAAGAAUUUGAAGAUUAAUGUUGAAGCCAAGUUCCCAAUGAAGAUUAUCAAGAAAGCCAGCUACUUUUUAGGGGGAGCUUGUUGGGUCAUUAAGAAAAGAAAGCUAUAAACCAAGGGGGAGAUUGUUGGGUCAAAAUAUGGUUUAUACUUUGCUUUUCUGGGCAAUUAUAUUUUUGUGUAAUAUUUUAUGAGCUUAUAGUCUAGUUUACGGUCAUGUCAUGUUUACGGUUUAGUUUACGGCCGUAAACACCUUACGAUCAUAAAACCAUUUACGGCCCAUGUUAUCCGGCCCAUGUUCUCCAAAUAUAAAUAUAGGUGUUAGGGUGAGUAGUAGAGAUUUGAUGAACAUAAGAGAGUUUACGGCCAGAGAGAAGUUUUGUGUGUGUGAAUCUUUUGUAUCCGGAUCUUCAUUCUAAUCAAUUCAUACAUAGAUUCAUAUUAUUCUCAUUCUCCUUCUUUUCUAUUUGAUCUGACAUCAUCCAUUUGAUUGGGAUUCCGCACCAUCAAACGAAUCUGAUUGAUACACAGGCAGAUUAGGGACUUACACAUUUGACCUAAAGUCAGAUGAUAGUUGUGAAUCUUGUUUGCUUGGUAAAAUGACAAAGUCACCUUUUACUGGAACUUGUGCUAGGGGUGAAGGUUUGUUGGACCUCAUACACACGGAUGUGUGUGGACCCUUCAGAACCGCCACAAGAGAUGCUAAUCGGUUUUAUGUGACUUUCACUGAUGAUUUUAGUAGAUAUGGAUAUGUCUACUUAAUCAAGCAUAAGUCAGAAACCUUUGAGAAAUUCAAAGAGUUUAAGCAAGAAGUGGAGAAUCAGUUGGGCAGGAACAUUAAGAUGCUUCGAUCCGAUCGUGGUGGUGAGUAUCUUAGUACUGAGUUCCUUGACUAUCUUAAGGACUGUGGGAUUAUCUCACAAUUGACACCUCCUAGGACACCACAGUUGAAUGGUGUAGCAAAGAGGCGCAAUUGGACCUUGUUGGACAUGGUUCGUUCCAUGAUGAGUCGAGCUUCGCUACCAAUCUCAUUUUGGGGGUAUGCCUUAGAGACUGUCGCCCAUAUCCUAAAUCUAGUCCCUACAAAGAAGGUUGCCAAAACACCUCACGAGAUGUGGACUGGAAAAGUUCCGAAUCUAGACCACAUCAAAAUUUGGGGUUGUGAGGCUUUCGUGAGACGCGAGACUCAUGAUAAGCUCGAACCCCGAAGCAAAAGGUGUAUUUUCAUCGGCUAUCCACAAAAAUCCUUUGGAUACAUCUUCUACAGACCCAAUGAUAAUGUGGUCUUUGUAGCAAGAAGAGGAUUCUUUCAAGAGAGAGAAUUCAUGAGUCAAGGAGACAGUGGGAGGCAAAUUGACCUUGAGGAAAUUCAAGAGUCAAGUGAUGAAGGAACCUCAAAACCCAGCCCUCAACCUAAGCAGGAAACUCUUGUUCAACCGACUGAAGAAUCUAUACCUCUGAGGCGUUCCACCAGAGUUAGGAAUGCACCUGAGCUUAUUAUGGUUUCCAUAUUACUGCAUAAGGUGAGAAACUUAUAAGUGAUAACACACUGGUAAAUCUGGAUGAGCCUAACAGCUACACGGAAGCCAUGGCAGGUCCUGAGGCUGCUAAAUGGAAAGAGGCUAUGGAUAGCGAGAUACAGUCCAUGUAUGACAAUCAAGUUUGGAACUUGGUUGACAAUGUACCUGAUCGUAAGAUAGUUGGGUGCAAAUGGAUCUUCAAGAAGAAGACCGACAUGGAUGGUAAUGUACACACUUAUAAGGCACGACUGGUUGCAAAGGGUUAUUCUCAAACUCCAGGAGUUGAUUAUGAUGAGACCUUUUCACCAGUGGCCAAGAUUAAGUCUAUUAGGGUUCUGUUAGCCAUUGCUGCAUUUCAUGACUAUGAAAUAUGGCAAAUGGAUGUCAAAACCGCUUUCCUUAAUGGAAAGUUGGCUGAAGAUGUUUACAUGGUUCAGCCAGAGGGUUUUGUCAGUACAGAGUACCCCAAUAGAGUGUGUAAACUCGAGAAAUCCAUUUAUGGAUUGAAACAGGCACCUCGCAGAUGGAAUCUUUGCUUUGAUGAGAAAGUCAAGGAAUUUGGCUUUUCAAGGAGUGAAGAUGAAUCUUGUGUCUAUAUCAAGGCUAGUGGGAGCAUAGUCAGCUUUUUGGUACUGUAUGUGGAUGACAUACUACUCAUAGGAAAUGACAUCCCAACCCUGCAGGAAGUAAAGUCCUGGCUUGGGAAGUGUUUCGCUAUGAAGGACCUUGGUGAAGCUGCCUAUAUCCUAGGGAUAAGGAUUUUGAGAAACAGGAGUAAAAGACUAAUUGGACUUAGUCAAAGCACCUAUGUGGACAAAGUGUUGAAAAGAUUCAACAUGCAUAACUCCAAGAAAGGUGAGUUACCCAUUCAGAGUAAUGCCAGAUUGAGUAAGACACAAAGCCCUAGUACUGAGGCUGAGAUAGCAGAAAUGAGUCGAAUACCUUAUGCUUCAGCUGUAGGAUCGACCAUGUAUGCUAUGACGUAUACUCGACCUGAUGUAGCCUANUGCAUGAAGAUAGGCAGAAACUCGACGAGUUGGAAGAACAACUCGACAAGUUGGUUGAAGAUAACCUUGGACUUGACGAGUCUGUUCUUGGACUCGGCGAGUCUGGUCGUGGGGUCCUAACCUUUCCUGGUUGAGCUGUGACUCGGUGAGUCAAGGGAUGACUUAGUGAGUUGAGUGCGAUUAGACUCAGAGUUGUGGGACUCCGCGAGUCUUGGGGCGACUCGGCGAGUUGAGUCGUGUUAUGGGAGUUUCAGAGCAUAGGGACUCGACAAGUCAGCGGGGUGACUCGGCGAGUAGAGAUAGUCUUGUGUUGACUAGUUGUCUUCCAGGGGUAUUUUGGUAUUUAUCGAGUUCAACAUUUUGGUUUUUGAUUAGUGGUGAAGUUUGUAUCAAAGGUUGGAGCAGCGUGAUCUUAUCUCUUCAGUCGGAAGUUGCGAAGUGAGUUAUCCUCACUAUAUCAACAAUUUCUAAGGCACCAAGGCCGACCCUUUAUCAGAUUGUAAUCUGGGUAUCGUUGUUAUGUUAUUGCUUUGCUAUGUUUGCAUCCUAGUAGUUAGGAUGGUAUAUGUUAGAGACCCGGUUAGGUCGGUAUCCUGGUU
RNAcentral lists this long non-coding RNA (14725 nucleotides) under Lactuca sativa (garden lettuce). Its description in RNAcentral is "long non-coding RNA (LSAT_LNC003956)". The record is from RNAcentral. Lineage: Eukaryota; Viridiplantae; Streptophyta; Magnoliopsida; Asterales; Asteraceae.